RNAcentral lists this ribosomal RNA (497 nucleotides) under uncultured bacterium. RNAcentral describes it as "partial 16S ribosomal RNA". It matches the Rfam family "Bacterial small subunit ribosomal RNA", at positions 28 to 507 of the family's 1533-position model. The record is from RNAcentral.
GAUGAACGCUGGCGGCGUGCCUAAUACAUGCAAGUCGAGCGAACGGACGAGAAGCUUGCUUCUGUGAUGUUAGCGGCGGACGGGUGAGUAACACGUGGAUAACCUACCUAUAAGACUGGGAUAACUUCGGGAAACCGGAGCUAAUACCGGAUAAUAUUUUGAACCGCAUGGUUCAAAAGUGAAAGACGGUCUUGCUGUCACUUAUAGAUGGGUCCGCGCUGCAUUAGCUAGUUGGUAAGGUAACGGCUUACCAAGGCAACGAUGCAUAGCCGACCUGAGAGGGUGAUCGGCCACACUGGAACUGAGACACGGUCCAGACUCCUACGGGAGGCAGCAGUAGGGAAUCUUCCGCAAUGGGCGAAAGCCUGACGGAGCAACGCCGCGUGAGUGAUGAAGGUCUUCGGAUCGUAAAACUCUGUUAUUAGGGAAGAACAUAUGUGUAAGUAACUGUGCACAUCUUGACGGUACCUAAUCAGAAAGCCACGGCUAACUACGUG